RNAcentral lists this ribosomal RNA (433 nucleotides) under uncultured bacterium. RNAcentral's name for it is "partial 16S ribosomal RNA". It matches the Rfam family "Bacterial small subunit ribosomal RNA", at positions 29 to 507 of the family's 1533-position model. The record is from RNAcentral.
AACGAACGCUGGCGGCAUGCCUAACACAUGCAAGUCGAACGAGACCUUCGGGUCUAGUGGCGCACGGGUGCGUAACGCGUGGGAACCUGCCCUUAUGUUCGGAAUAACUCCCCGAAAGGGGUGCUAAUACCGGAUAAUGUCUUCGGACCAAAGAUUUAUCGCCUUUGGAUGGGCCCGCGUUGGAUUAGCUAGUUGGUAGGGUAAAAGCCUACCAAGGCGACGAUCCAUAGCUGGUCUGAGAGGAUGAUAAGCCAUACUGGGACUGAGACACGGCCCAGACUCCUACGGGAGGCAGCAGUGGGGAAUAUUGGACAAUGAGCGAAAGCCUGAUCCAGCAAUGCCGCGUGAGUGAUGAAGGCCUUAGGGUUGUAAAGCUCUUUUAGCCGGGAUGAUAAUGACAGUACCGUGAGAAUAAGCUCCGGCUAACUCCGUG